This 149-nucleotide non-coding RNA is filed under the name marine eukaryotic metagenome. The record is from RNAcentral.
AAGGUAAUGGGAGAAUCGGGAAACCGGCAAAACUCCGGUACGUGCCCAACGCUGUGAUGGUGAUCGCUUAACAACAAAGCCACUAGACUUAUCUCUGGGAAGGCAUUUAAGCGAGUUGACCCUAAGUCAGAAGACCGGCCUAAAAGAUA